Molecule: ribosomal RNA, 469 nt
Filed under: uncultured Bacilli bacterium
Lineage: Bacteria; Bacillati; Bacillota; Bacilli
Description: bacterial SSU rRNA
Rfam family: Bacterial small subunit ribosomal RNA
Source: RNAcentral
AAGUCGAACGCACUCUCGUUUAGAUUGAAGGAGCUUGCUCCUGAUUGAUAAACAUUUGAGUGAGUGGCGGACGGGUGAGUAACACGUGGGUAACCUGCCCUAAAGUGGGGGAUAACAUUUGGAAACAGAUGCUAAUACCGCAUAAAACCUAACACCGCAUGGUGUAGGGUUGAAAGAUGGUUUCGGCUAUCACUUUAGGAUGGACCCGCGGUGCAUUAGUUAGUUGGUGAGGUAAAGGCUCACCAAGACCGUGAUGCAUAGCCGACCUGAGAGGGUAAUCGGCCACACUGGGACUGAGACACGGCCCAGACUCCUACGGGAGGCAGCAGUAGGGAAUCUUCCACAAUGGACGAAAGUCUGAUGGAGCAACGCCGCGUGAGUGAAGAAGGUUUUCGGAUCGUAAAACUCUGUUGUUGGAGAAGAAUGUAUCUGAUAGUAACUGAUCAGGUAGUGACGGUAUCCAACCAGA